This 448-nucleotide ribosomal RNA is filed under the name uncultured bacterium. RNAcentral's name for it is "SSU rRNA". It matches the Rfam family "Bacterial small subunit ribosomal RNA", at positions 26 to 518 of the family's 1533-position model. The record is from RNAcentral.
AGGACAAACGCUGGCGGCAUGCCUAACACAUGCAAGUCGAACGCGUGUAGCGAUACACGAGUGGCGGACGGGUGAGUAACGCGUGGGAACCUGCCCUGGAGUGUGGGAUAACCGAGGGAAACUUCGGCUAAUACCGCAUACGACCUGAGGGUGAAAGAUUUAUCGCUCUAGGAGGGGCCCGCGUCGGAUUAGCUAGUUGGUGGGGUAAAGGCCUACCAAGGCAGUGAUCCGUAGCUGGUCUGAGAGGAUGAUCAGCCACACUGGGACUGAGACACGGCCCAGACUCCUACGGGAGGCAGCAGUGGGGAAUAUUGGACAAUGGGCGCAAGCCUGAUCCAGCCAUGCCGCGUGAGUGAUGAAGGCCCUAGGGUUGUAAAGCUCUUUUGUGCGGGAAGAUAAUGACGGUACCGCAAGAAUAAGCCCCGGCUAACUUCGUGCCAGCAGCCGC